This 345-nucleotide unclassified non-coding RNA is filed under the name soil metagenome. RNAcentral describes it as "partial contains 5.8S ribosomal RNA, internal transcribed spacer 2, and large subunit ribosomal RNA". The stretch from base 1 to 120 matches the Rfam family "5.8S ribosomal RNA", at positions 35 to 154 of the family's 154-position model. The record is from RNAcentral.
GAUGAAGAACGUAGUGAAAUGCGAUACGUAAUGUGAAUUGCAGAAUUCAGUGAAUCAUCGAGUCUUUGAACGCACAUUGCGCCCUCUGGUAUUCCGGAGGGCAUGCCUGUCCGAGCGUCAUUGCUGCCCUCAAGCACGGCUUGUGUGUUGGGCCCCGCCCCCCGGUCCCGGGGGGCGGGCCCGAAAGGCAGCGGCGGCACCGCGUCCGGUCCUCGAGCGUAUGGGGCUUUGUCACCCGCUCUGUAGGCCCGGCCGGCGCCUGCCGAUCAACCAAACUUUUUUCCAGGUUGACCUCGGAUCAGGUAGGGAUACCCGCUGAACUUAAGCAUAUCAAUAAGCGGAGGA